CUACGGGAGGCAGCAGUAGGGAUCUUCCACAAUGACGAAAGUUUGAUGAGCAACGCCGCGUGAGUAAGAAGGUUUUCGGAUCGUAAACUCUGUUGUUGGAGAAGAAUGUAUCUGAUAGUAACUGAUCAGGUAGUGACGGUAUCCAACCAGAAAGCCACGGCUAACUACGUGCCAGCAGCCGCGGUAAUACGUAGGUGGCAAGCGUUGUCCGGAUUUAUUGGGCGUAAAGCGAGCGCAGGCGGUUUCUUAAGUCUGAUGUGAAAGCCUUCGGCUCAACCGAAGAAGUGCAUCGGAAACUGAGAAACUUGAGUGCAGAAGAGGACAGUGGAACUCCAUGUGUAGCGGUGAAAUGCGUAGAUAUAUGGAAGAACACCAGUGGCGAAGGCGGCUGUCUGGUCUGUAACUGACGCUGAGGCUCGAAAGCAUGGGUAGCAAACAGGAUUAGAUACCCUGGUAGUCCAUGCCGUAAACGAUGAGUGCUAGGUGUUGGAGGGUUUCCGCCCUUCAGUGCCGCAGCUAACGCAUUAAGCACUCCGCCUGGGGAGUACGACCGCAAGGUUGAAACUCAAAGGAAUUGACGGGGGCCCGCACAAGCGGUGGAGCAUGUGGUUUAAUUCGAAGCAACGCGAAGAACCUUACCAGGUCUUGACAUCCUUUGACCACUCUAGAGAUAGAGCUUUCCCUUCGGGGACAAAGUGACAGGUGGUGCAUGGUUGUCGUCAGCUCGUGUCGUGAGAUGUUGGGUUAAGUCCCGCAACGAGCGCAACCCUUAUUACUAGUUGCCAGCAUUUAGUUGGGCACUCUAGUGAGACUGCCGGUGACAAACCGGAGGAAGGUGGGGACGACGUCAAAUCAUCAUGCCCCUUAUGACCUGGGCUACACACGUGCUACAAUGGAUGGUACAACGAGUUGCGAGACCGCGAGGUUUAGCUAAUCUCUUAAAACCAUUCUCAGUUCGGAUUGUAGGCUGCAACUCGCCUACAUGAAGCCGGAAUCGCUAGUAAUCGCGGAUCAGCAUGCCGCGGUGAAUACGUUCCCGGGCCUUGUACACACCGCCCGUCACACCAUGAGAGUUUGUAACACCCAAAGCCGGUGAGGUAACCCUUCGGGGAGCCAGCCGUCUAAG
Molecule: ribosomal RNA, 1126 nt
Filed under: Latilactobacillus sakei
Lineage: Bacteria; Bacillati; Bacillota; Bacilli; Lactobacillales; Lactobacillaceae
Description: bacterial SSU rRNA
Rfam family: Bacterial small subunit ribosomal RNA
Source: RNAcentral